RNAcentral lists this ribosomal RNA (207 nucleotides) under uncultured bacterium. Its description in RNAcentral is "partial 16S ribosomal RNA". It matches the Rfam family "Bacterial small subunit ribosomal RNA", at positions 568 to 774 of the family's 1533-position model. The record is from RNAcentral.
CGUGUAGGCGGUUCGGUAAGUCCGCUGUGAAAGUCCAGGGCUCAACCCUGGAAUGCCGGUGGAUACUGUCGGGCUAGAGUCCGGAAGAGGCGAGUGGAAUUCCUGGUGUAGCGGUGAAAUGCGCAGAUAUCAGGAGGAACACCAAUGGCGAAGGCAGCUCGCUGGGACGGUACUGACGCUGAGACGCGAAAGCGUGGGGAGCAAACA